GGCUGGAGCGUCCGGUCCGCCUCGCAAGGGGUGUGUCGCCGGUAGUCUUGGGCCAUCCUUGGGGCGAUGCCCGCUGGCAUUGAGUUGUCGGCGGGUGACUCCCCCAUCGUUUACUGUGAAAAAAUUAGAGUGUUUAAAGCAGGCUUACGCCUUUGAAUACAUUAGCAUGGAAUAAUAAGAUAGGACUUUGGUGGUCUAUUUUGUUGGUUUGCACACCAAGGUA
Molecule: ribosomal RNA, 223 nt
Filed under: uncultured fungus
Lineage: Eukaryota; Fungi
Description: partial small subunit ribosomal RNA
Rfam family: Eukaryotic small subunit ribosomal RNA (bases 106-223)
Source: RNAcentral